UACGUAGGGGGCAAGCGUUGUCCGGAUUUAUUGGGCGUAAAGAGCGUGUAGGCGGCCUGGUAGGUCAGCUGUGAAAACUCGAGGCUCAACCUCGAGACGCCGGUUGAAACCAUCAGGCUAGAGUCCGGAAGAGGAGAGUGGAAUUCCCAGUGUAGCGGUGAAAUGCGCAGAUAUCGGGAAGAACACCCGUGGCUAAGGCGGCUCUCUAGUACGGUACUGACGCUGAGACGCGAAAGCGUGGGGAGCGAACAGG
RNAcentral lists this ribosomal RNA (253 nucleotides) under uncultured bacterium. Its description in RNAcentral is "partial 16S ribosomal RNA". It matches the Rfam family "Bacterial small subunit ribosomal RNA", at positions 524 to 776 of the family's 1533-position model. The record is from RNAcentral.